GUACAAGCUUGCUGCUCGGAAGGUUUGUCAGCUUAUGCACUUUCAAUUCUUUAGCACGUGCAUUGCUGAUUUUUGUAAUCUUUGCUUUGUGCUGAACUCGUGUGAGCUCAACAUUACUCUAUUACAAUUAUUUAGCAUCCCAUGAUUUAUAAUUUGUGAAUUUCUUACAAAAAAAUGGAUAACUAUUAUGAUUGAGAUAAGUGUACAAUGGAGUAUGGACCUUUGU
RNAcentral lists this unclassified non-coding RNA (226 nucleotides) under Hevea brasiliensis (rubber tree). Lineage: Eukaryota; Viridiplantae; Streptophyta; Magnoliopsida; Malpighiales; Euphorbiaceae. The record is from RNAcentral.